GAUGAACGCUGGCGGCGUGCCUAAUACAUGCAAGUCGAGCGAACAGACGAGGAGCUUGCUCCUUUGACGUUAGCGGCGGACGGGUGAGUAACACGUGGAUAACCUACCUAUAAGACUGGGAUAACUUCGGGAAACCGGAGCUAAUACCGGAUAACAUGUUGAACCGCAUGGUUCAACAGUGAAAGACGGUCUUGCUGUCACUUAUAGAUGGAUCCGCGCCGCAUUAGCUAGUUGGUAAGGUAACGGCUUACCAAGGCAACGAUGCGUAGCCGACCUGAGAGGGUGAUCGGCCACACUGGAACUGAGACACGGUCCAGACUCCUACGGGAGGCAGCAGUAGGGAAUCUUCCGCAAUGGGCGAAAGCCUGACGGAGCAACGCCGCGUGAGUGAAGAAGGUCUUCGGAUCGUAAAACUCUGUUACUAGGGAAGAACAAAUGUGUAAGUAACUAUGCACGUCUUGACGGUACCUAAUCAGAAAGCCACGGCUAACUACGUG
Molecule: ribosomal RNA, 497 nt
Filed under: uncultured bacterium
Lineage: Bacteria
Description: partial 16S ribosomal RNA
Rfam family: Bacterial small subunit ribosomal RNA
Source: RNAcentral